This is a long non-coding RNA of Neodiprion virginianus, 746 nucleotides long. RefSeq lists it as uncharacterized. The record is from RefSeq and is a predicted model, not a curated record. NCBI's taxonomy places the organism in Eukaryota, Metazoa, Arthropoda, Insecta, Hymenoptera, Diprionidae. The transcript is spliced from 3 exons.
AGAGAGACAUGCCUUUUACUUUUACUUUUUAACGUUUUGGCAGACUGCCAUUUAGCAUAACCCAGCCUGUAUUUAAGAACCCAAGCCUCCUCAGGAAAUAUGUAAAAUAUUUUUAGAUCUGUGUAUUUUUAUUAAAGUGCUCCGUGGGUGUCAUUCAUAAUAUUGUUGCUCAGUCGUACUGUCUAUAGAGCUCCAAGUUUGAAGAUUAUUUGAUAUAAUCAAUGCUUAGAAAGUGUUAGUCAUAAAUCAGCUGAUUAUUCAAUAAUCAAACACCACUGGCAACAACUGCAAAGCUGAAAUGUGAAAUUUAUUUGCAACAAAACAGUUAGUUUCAACAAAUCCUCAUAUGCAGUUAUAGUACAGCCAUCAUACGUUUCAAUUGAGGAUACGUUUUUCUCUGCCAGAUAAUGAACAAAUACAAUUGUGUUAUUAGCUCCAGACACAUGAAGUUUGAUAAUGUUAAAAGAAUACUCCUCCCAUACAUUGCAUAAAAGCACCUCCUUAUCAGCUUUUUCUUCUUUACUGUCUUUUGAAGGAGAACUGGGCGAACUCAUGCCCGAUGAAGUACUGUCUGUGCAAGCUGAAGGUGGUCGAAGCUCGAUAUCAGAUUUGACGCUGGACUGGUUCUCAAAACUUUCGGAAACUGUACCACUUUUAAAAGUGUUAUGUUUAUUAUCCAAAUGUCCAAGAAUUUUUGAUACUUCAACGUUUUCAACUUUUAAGGGCAUCGAAUUUUUUUGGACAAC